CGAUACGAGUUUGAUCAUGGCUCAGGAUGAACGCUGGCGGCGUGCCUAACACAUGCAAGUCGAGCGGUAUAUACUGGAACGAAACUUCGGUCUAGAGAAGGUAUAGAGAGCGGCGGACGGGUGAGUAACGCGUAGGCAACCUGCCCCAUACAGAGGGAUAGCCUCGGGAAACCGGGAUUAAAACCUCAUAAUACGAAAGCUUCACAUGUUGCUUUCGUCAAAGAUUUAUCGGUAUGGGAUGGGCCUGCGUCUGAUUAGCUAGUUGGUGAGGUAACGGCUCACCAAGGCGACGAUCAGUAGCCGACCUGAGAGGGUAAUCGGCCACAUUGGAACUGAGACACGGUCCAAACUCCUACGGGAGGCAGCAGUGGGGAAUAUUGCACAAUGGGCGAAAGCCUGAUGCAGCAACGCCGCGUGAGCGAUGAAGGCCUUUGGGUCGUAAAGCUCUGUCCUUGGGGAAGAAAAAAUGACGGUACCCAUGGAGGAAGCCCCGGCUAACUACGUG
This 505-nucleotide ribosomal RNA is filed under the name uncultured bacterium. Its description in RNAcentral is "bacterial SSU rRNA". It matches the Rfam family "Bacterial small subunit ribosomal RNA", at positions 1 to 507 of the family's 1533-position model. The record is from RNAcentral.